UGUCCAUCAGGGUCACGCUCCGAGGCAAGGGGAGGCGAAACGAGAGGGAAGACGGCUUCUCUCUGAAGGGUAGACGGGCCUGCUGGGACGCUCCGGGAGGACUUGGGACAGGCGCUGGGCGGGGUUUCGUCGUUCCGCGGAACGCCGGGAAGGGGUCACUUCCAGAUGAAGGUUCCGGUUCCGGUGCGGGCGGAGGUUGCGUUGCCACGGCAGCGCGGUUGGCCGGCCGCUGGUUCUGGCGUUCCGGGUGGUGGGGGGGCUGGAGCAGGCUUGGAUCCGCCGUUCCCGGCUUAGGUGAGCUUCCCGGAGCUUCAGUAAGGCCGCGGCUGUUCGCGGCGAGAGCAGGGACUGCGCCGGGCUCUGGCGGCCAGGCCUGCCCGGGGCUACGGCGUCGGGGCCCGGGCCGUGUGUCGCAGCCCUCCUGUGGUCCCGCUGCCCCCGUGGGAGCAGAGGCCCAGACCCCUUCCCGUGGUUCCCGCCUCUGCAGCGCGAUUAUUUCACUAAAACAACUUUGAUUUUUAAAGUUUGUAAAGAGCUCUCGUCUGUGUGAUCGGGGCUUCGCUGACUUUCCAGCCGACCUAAGCCCCUGGGCUUGGGCCCAGGAAAGGUUGAAUGGGGAACUAAGAAAGGAAUUGGUUCAUUCGACAGACGUUUUCUGAGCAGCUGCUGCGUGCAAGGCACGGUGCCGGCGCGGGACCUGUGCCCAGAGCUUGAGAAAUGAGAAGCAGUACGUAGAACAGUGCUUGGAACCUAGCAGGUGCUCACAUUGGUGGAAAGAAUGAUCCCAGAAGAGCGGGGCUCAGUGAAAUCGCCACGUGGUCUGUAGUCUUGGAGCGGUGCUGGGUUGGUGGUACCCUAGAGCACACCAGACUUGCAGAGAAAGCAUUCUCCAGAGGAAGCUGAGGCAUGGCUGCUCAAGGGACAGCAGUGCCAUGUGCAAUUUUCCUCUGAUAGUUUCCGAUUACUGUUGCCACGGUGAUAAUGGCUGUGCCAUGUCAUUAUCUAUCAACCGACAGUAAGAGAAGCUUUUGCAGUCAGAUGUUGUUUAACAGAUGGAGUGGUUUCUGUUGGACACUAAGUACUGCUACAAAUUACUUUCUUUUUAAACCCUAAGUAUUUAAAAAUUUGUGGCUGGAGGUGACCUGGUUCUGCUUUGGAGGUGCUCAAGUUUAAAAAUCAGAAAAUUAGUACAUGUGCUGACAGCAAGUGAAUCUUCCAAAUAAUCGUUCACCGGGAGACUUGAGGCCAGUAAGCUGAAAAUAAACUCAAGAUGUUACUCAGAAGUGCUCCCCAGUGACGUAUUUGUUUUAUCCCCGUGGUUGUUAUUGAUGUUUGGUAGUUUUCUAAUGUGGGACCCAAAAUUGAUCAGCUUCUUAAAGAGUCCUUUUUUUUCCCCUCUAGAGUCAUUGAUUCCAGGUAAAUCAGAGGAACAAACAUCAUACAGAAAUAUACAGGACAGUAACAUACAGGAAGCGAUGUGAAACUGUUGUUUCAAAAGUCCAGCAUCUGGUGCACCUAACAGUAGGGGCUAUAUUAUUUGCAAAGUCACCUAACUUUUACUCAUACUUAUGUUCUGAAUGAAGAGAAAUGAUGUCCUGUAAAUUUAGUUCAGUCUAGAACACACUGUGGGAGAUACAGGUGAAAAUGGAUUCCUGAAGAGGCACUUACGAAAAGCCUGGAUGUCACAGCAGAGCCUGAUUCUGUUCUGGGAUUUGGACUGUAGAGGUGUGAGGCCUGGCUUCAGUCCUAAGCAUCACUUACAAGCUCUUUUGGAUUUUCCUUGGAAUUUUCUGCCCCUUACAUCUUCCCCUUCCUGGAUUUGUGAAAAAUGUCUUUGUGACAUCUGCAAAAGAUCCCACAUACUGUGGAGCAACUAAGCCCGUGCACCACAACUACUGAGCCUGCACUCUAGAGCCCACAAGCCACAACUACUGAAGCCCACGCGCCUAGAGCCCGUGCUCCGCAGCAAGAGAAGCCACCGCGAUGAGAAGCCCGUGCACAGCAACAAAAAUCCAACUCAGCCAAAAAUAAAAAUAAAUAAAUUUAUUUUUUUAAAAAAAGAAUGAACCAGAAGUAAAAAAAGAAAGAUUGUUAAUAACAUCUUUUUGACAGACUUGAGCACUUUGGGUUCCUCUUUUUACCUUCACAAGCACUUCUUAAAUCUUACUGUGGAAUCGUAGCAAAGCCAGCAAGUCCCACAGAAAAUUAAAUAUUCCUGAAUUAUCUCCAGGGUAUGUAUGUAUUGGAUACAGAUGUGAUUUUUAUGCUUUGUGAAACUAAACUGACAACAAUUUCAAUGCAAAACUCCAAGGAAACAAAUAACCCAUAGCUUUUCACUUCUGGAAGUUUCAUUCUCUUUUGUCCCCAUGCUGCUUUUUCUCAGUGAGGCCUGAAGUCUCUGGCUAUAUAUAGGCUUUUAAACUCAGACAUCUGCUGGAUUUUGUUCUAUUGAGAACUUUAUUUCGAGGGAAAGAGCCCAAAUCAUAUCUCCUGUCAGGUAAUAUUAAGAAUUAAGUGGUAAUCAUAAAACAUGUUAAGACUUAAGGUGAUAAAAGAAUUGUUGAAUUUUCCUCAACUGUCUGUUUAGUGAAAGAUUUUAAUGUUUUGUGUUAUGUUUUUUUUUUUUUUUGCAAGCAGAUAGAUUCCAUGAUUCAAACUGUUAUUACAUUUCCAGCGACUUCUGAGAAGGUGCCCAGACCACAGAAUUCAGAAAGCAAGGAGCCAGUACUGUUGUGUGUCACACUUGCUAGGAAGAUUUAUCUGUUGGCAGGAGUCUGUGUCUUCCUCUGAUAAUCACUGAGAUUGCGGCCAGACGAACACUGAGAAAAUUUUAUUGUUUUCCUUUGAAUGAUGGCUAAGAUGUAUUGCCAAGGCCAUAAAUAUUCAUUAUGUUGA
Orcinus orca (killer whale) is the source of this 2895-nucleotide long non-coding RNA. RefSeq lists it as uncharacterized. The transcript has 4 exons. The record is from RefSeq and is a predicted model, not a curated record. Lineage: Eukaryota; Metazoa; Chordata; Mammalia; Artiodactyla; Delphinidae.